This 380-nucleotide long non-coding RNA is filed under the name Physcomitrium patens. RNAcentral's name for it is "long non-coding RNA (PPAT_LNC008947)". The record is from RNAcentral. Lineage: Eukaryota; Viridiplantae; Streptophyta; Bryopsida; Funariales; Funariaceae.
GGACUAUCUGGAAACGGGAACACAAAUUCAAGCUUUGUGAAGAGAAUUAACCGAUCCAUUAAUCCAUCAUCUUCAACAAGGAAUUACUUGAUAUCCGAGAGAAUCCGAUUCAAAACUGCAGAAGAAGAAAAAGAAGAAGAAGAGAAAGGUCUCGCAAUCUGCUCUACAUUUACCGACACCGACUGAUUGCAAGCAACCAGGGGGACAAGCUUUCCGAAAUUGAAUCACAAGGUCUCACCCAAUCAAGUAGAUUCGGAAUCAGUAUGAAGCUCAGCAGCAUCUACCGACAGGAAUUUAGAUCUGAGGCGAAUGAGCUGCGGUGACAGUCUUGCUGGUCUUCAAACAGGACCUUGACAGGAGUUCAUGUCGGCAUUCCACAG